This is a long non-coding RNA of Planococcus citri (citrus mealybug), 996 nucleotides long. RefSeq lists it as uncharacterized. The transcript is spliced from 5 exons. NCBI's taxonomy places the organism in Eukaryota, Metazoa, Arthropoda, Insecta, Hemiptera, Pseudococcidae. The record is from RefSeq and is a predicted model, not a curated record.
GUCGUUCAACAGCCUUGGGAAGAUUUCCAAAUUUUUAUUCUGCCAAUAACAUUCGUGUACAAUCUUCGAUACAUUUUUAAAAAAAUUUUAUCAACGGAUAAUAAAAAGAAACGCGUGAUUACACAUAUUAACGUAGAAAUCCGAUUAAUCUGUUCCGCAUCCGAUAUCGAACAUGAAAAAAUUUUCAUUAGGUUACCUACUUACAAUUUUAUUUUUUAUUCUUUUUUAAAUAAGUAUUUCUCGAAAAAGCUACAACCGCAAACUUGACUGUUUUUCGUUCGAAAUCCAAGCUAUCACGCUACCGGAACUUCAACUAUGGUAAUAAGUACAUAUGUUCGUAUGGUUUCUGCGUAAAUUGCUCUUCUUCCUCUAACGUAAACAGUGUGCAGCGAGGGCAACGGAUUUGGGGAAUUUUGAAGAAAGAGAACAUUGAAUUUUAAAGCACCUAGAUCUUGAUUUCAGCCAUGGUUGGAACUUGGCUCCUGUUCUUAUUCGUAAAAUUGACGAAAUUUUUAUCUAGAAGGAAAUUUUAGUACACCUACAAAUAAUGUCUUGAAAAAGCCUAAAGCAACCACAACCACAACAUCAAAAAUCAAAUAAUAUUCACCUCGUGUUUUUUUUUUCGUUCGAAAUCCAAGUUACCUACUGAAUUACCACAGCUCAACCAUGUUAAUAGGUUUCACCCUCUUUCUUCUGUUCAAAUUGUUCAAAUAUUUAAGAAAGUAAAUCAUCAGUAACCAUGAAAAACAUAAAGAUGCGAUGCCACCAAUUGAAAUCACUUCCACAUCGGAUACGAAAUCGAACACGAAACCAACGUUAAGACCAACGCAAAAUGAUUAUUCGUACAUAAUUUAUCUAUUAUUUAACUGCAAUUACAGACAAACUAAUUAUAUCUACCCGUACAUUAAUCGAAUCACUAUUUUUCAACUUAUCUACCUAUUUUUAAUGCAAAAAAUUUAAUAAAAGAAAAGUCCGCUUAAACAUUCUUAAAAUUUA